UGGGGAAUAUUGCACAAUGGGGCGAAAGCCUGAUGCAGCGACGCCGCGUGAGCGGAGAAGUAUUUCGGUAUGUAAAGCUCUAUCAGCAGGGAAGAAGAAUGACGGUACCUGACUAAGAAGCCCCGGCUAACUACGUGCCAGCAGCCGCGGUAAUACGUAGGGGGGCAAGCGUUAUCCGGAUUUACUGGGUGUAAAGGGAGCGCAGGCGGUACGGCAAGUCUGAUGUGAAAGCCCGGGGCUCAACCCCGGGACUGCAUUGGAAACUGUCGGACUAGAGUGUCGGAGGGGUAAGUGGAAUUCCUAGUGUAGCGGUGAAAUGCGUAGAUAUUAGGAGGAACACCAGUGGCGAAGGCGGCUUACUGGACGAUCACUGACGCUGAGGCUCGAAAACGUGGGGAGC
This 400-nucleotide ribosomal RNA is filed under the name uncultured Lachnospiraceae bacterium. Its description in RNAcentral is "bacterial SSU rRNA". It matches the Rfam family "Bacterial small subunit ribosomal RNA", at positions 355 to 769 of the family's 1533-position model. Lineage: Bacteria; Bacillati; Bacillota; Clostridia; Lachnospirales; Lachnospiraceae. The record is from RNAcentral.